Molecule: ribosomal RNA, 253 nt
Filed under: uncultured bacterium
Lineage: Bacteria
Description: partial 16S ribosomal RNA
Rfam family: Bacterial small subunit ribosomal RNA
Source: RNAcentral
UACGGAGGAUGCAAGCGUUAUCCGGAAUGAUUGGGCGUAAAGCGUCCGCAGGUGGCAAUGUAAGUCUGCUGUUAAAGAGUCUAGCUCAACUAGAUAAAAGCAGUGGAAACUACAUAGCUAGAGUACGUUCGGGGCAGAGGGAAUUCCUGGUGUAGCGGUGAAAUGCGUAGAGAUCGGGAAGAACACCAGUGGCGAAGGCGCUCUGCUAGGCCGUAACUGACACUGAGGGACGAAAGCUAGGGGAGCGAAUGGG